Molecule: long non-coding RNA, 4221 nt
Organism: Chenopodium quinoa (quinoa)
Lineage: Eukaryota; Viridiplantae; Streptophyta; Magnoliopsida; Caryophyllales; Amaranthaceae
Exons: 5
Source: RefSeq, a predicted model, not a curated record
AUUCUUCUUUACCAGAUAAAACUCCAUCAUUUGUCUUAUCAAAUGGAUUGCUUCCAUAGUAGAUCUCCCAAGCAUAAAACCAAAUUGGUUAUCUGAAAUGUUUGUGCACGCCCUCAACCUAUGUUCAAUCACUCUUUCCCACAACUUCAUAGUGUAGCUCAUAAGCUUGAUCCCUUGAUAGCUAGAACAAUCUUGAGCGUCUCCUUUGUUUUUAUAAACCGGGACCAAGGUGCUCUUCCUCCAUCUUGCGGGAUCCUCGUAGCCCUCCGUAUCUUGUUAAAGAGGUCUGUUAACCUAUUAAUACCAAUCUUACCCAAACACCUCCACACCUUUAUCGGUAUACCAUCAGGGCCAACCGCCUUCUUAGGCUUCAUCUUCUUCCGUGCAAUCUACACCUCUACUCUUUUAAUCCUCCGCACACACUCCAUGUUGAUUUCUUCAUCACUCACGGAGGUAUCUCCCGUCACAACUCCAUUACUUUCAUUAAACAAUUCAUCAAAGUACCCUUUCCACCUAUCCUUGAUGUCCUCCUCUUGUAAUAGGACAAUUUGGUUCUUAUCUUUGACACACUAUAUAAAAUAAAUUUAAAAACCAAAAAAAAAGAAAAAACAAGAUAUUACAUACAUCAAUGGUGUAUAUUUUUUAUAAUUCAAUUACAAGUUAGGUUCAUUGCAUCCCAAUUAGAUAGCUAUCAUCAAUAGCGUUUCGUCCUUAAAUAGUCGUCUAAUCUAAAUGGUAGACCCUAAUUAGCUAUCUAAUUGGUAUGCAAUGAACCUGACUUGUAGUUGAAUUACCCAAAAAUAUACACCAUUGAAAAUCUAAUCUAAAACCCUUUCUAUAAAUAUGAGAAGUUGGUUACUGAGCUUAUGAACGAUACCUGAGCUACUGUUGAAAAUGAAUAGGGGAUUACCCUUUUUGGCCUUGCAAUGAAGUUCUCUGAUAUUGCUGUUUUGCUUUUCCUGGUAUAUUUGUCCAAUUAAGAAGCCUUCUCCAAUUUAGGAACAACUCUGUAAAAAACAGUUGGGCUCGCUCCAAGUUAUUUAACUACUUCAUGUACCUCCAUUCAAGUAUACUCUCAAUUCUUCAUUAAAGCGUCUUAUGAGAUUCUGAGAAUUUUGAAUUCUUGCAGUUCCACCCAACUGGUAUCUAUAUAUGGUCCUGGAUGCCUAAUCACUGAAGGUUGAUUUUACUCGUACAAUAUAUUUGUUCUUUUCGUUCUUUUGUCUAAUGAUUCAGAAACUGAUCUGUAGAAGAAAAUUGUGUAGUUUAUUCCGGAAUAUUUUUGUUUUUCUUUGAUGAUACCUUUUGCAGCCGCUUAUUUCUAGAAUUUUUUCUUUAGAAGUGAGCUUUAAUUUCCUUCUCAACUAGAAUUUGGAUAAAUUUUAAAAAGAAUGAGUAGACAAACAUUGGUUAUGAGUAGUUGAUUUCAAUUGUUGUCAUCCUUUGCUCAUGUGAAAAUUCUUUUGGCUGUCAUCCUUGGCUUAACUGCAAAUUCUUUUGGUGGUGGUUAAUUCUUACAUUAUAACAUGUAAGCCAUUUGUCCCUGUAACUAUUUGCUGCAUAAAUUUCAUCAUUAUGAUUUUUGGCAUUCUGGAUCAGAAUGGUGGUGAAUCUGUCAUGACUCAAGUUUCUGAAAUGAGUUCAAGAUCUUGUCAAGUCACCAGAAAAUGGCUUUAUUAAGCCACCAACAAAUAGAGUGAUAUCAAAUUAGGUACAAUUAUGUCCUUCCUGGUAAAUACUUCUCUGCUCUCAAUGCUAAAAAUUUCAUCUUAUGGCUUUUGAAAAGCAUAUGGAUCAAUCAGAACUUUGUUUGGUUACUGCUUUCUUGACUACAAUGUACUUUCAACCUUAUGAAUUUGUUUGAAUGAGUAGGGAUAUCAAGCAAAUACAUGUGCAGGUAAAAUAUGAUUUUAUUAUAUAAUGCUAAGUGAAUGAGAUAUUUUUACCCGUAUUUUCUCAUUAAUGAGUGUUAGUGAGGUAAAAUAUUUUAUUUUAUUUGUUUUCAUUUUUAAAUUUCAAUACAUUGUGCAAGGCAAAACUCCUAUAAAUUGUCUCAAUAUUUUGAUGUGGUCACUUGAUAUCAGCCAUUUGAGAAGACAACUUUGCAUGGUUUAUAUUAAUUUAACAUUUGGGAUUUUAAUUUUUUUUAUUAUACUGAUUGGUAUUUAUUGAAAUUAUGGUUAGAAAUCGGUUAAUAAUAGUUAUUAGUUGAUCUUAUUUUUCAAAUUUAAUUCACUGCUUAAAGGAGCUUUUUCACUCUAUGAGCUGUAUAUUUCAGUUUAUACGAGGUCUAAAGAAAUGGUUGCUUUAUGGUAUUCACCACCAUCUCUCUUGUUCCUGUAAAACUCGCUGCUUGUUACGAUGAGGGCAUAAAGUUGCCAUUUAAGAAGUCAUUCAUUCUGCCUUUUUUUUUUUUCCUUAUCUUAGUUUGAGUAUUUUUUACACUUGCAGUUGAUUUGCUAUAUACUACAGUGUUUUAUUUGGUGAUGAUAAUAUUAAUGAUGAGUGUUAUAGUAGCUUUUGUUCUCUGGAAUCUUUUGGAUCAGGAGACUUUAUUAUGAGCUAUGCCUUCUAAUACCACACUUCUGUUCAUCCUAUUUACCGAGAACUCUUGUUUAUUUUAUUUUAUUUUAUUUUAUUUAUUUUAAAAGCAAGGGAGUGGAAAAAUGAUUAUCAUUGAAAAAAAAGGUAUUAGCUUAUAUUGCCAAGCAUUAAAAAAACAUACUAUCAAAACAUGUAUAUUGCAGCAUUAGUGAAUGCCGUGACGAUUUCCUUUUUUGCAUUUUUUGACAUGAUAUUGUGUACUUGUCGCCUUGUAUGAGGGCACAUAUAUAUAAUUUCUAAAUAAGGGUAGUAUUUAACUAAUUUACAUUUCUUAUUCUUGUCGCCGCCACUGUUAUUCUUUUCGUUGCUGCUGUUACUUUAGUACCUGCUGCUGUUAUUGUUUUCAUUGCUGAUAUGGCUGUUGUUAUUGUGUUGUUACCGUUAGAUGUUGCUGAUAUUGUGUACUGUUAUUGUAAACAUGUUUGGACUCAUGGUUUGAUUUUCAGAUAUGGGUUUGAUACUUGAUAGAAGUUUUUUAGGUAUAAUCUUGGGUUAUCUUUCGUUGGGUAGUAUGGUUAAAAAGUAAACUAUAAAUAAGUAUGCUAUGUUAUUUUUUGACCUAUUCUUGUAAUCAGCAGAUGACAACUAUGUUUUUCUAUUAAUUCAUUCACAGGAAGAAGGUAUCACUGCCUACUUAAGAUGGGAGACUAUGACACGCUUAUCGAGCUGUUGAAAUUUCAGGUAUUCUACCUGUUGCAAGUUUUGCAAUGCUUUAUUUAAUCAUACUCUGCUGGUUAACCUUUCUCACAAAUUUUGAUUUUUUGCUUACAAAACCUGUUACAUGGCCUCCAUCAAUUUGGAGAGUAGUUUGUGGAGUUGUUAAAUCUGGUAUACUUACAUAUGGUCCUUUCAUCUUUCUCGGAUUUGUUAUCACCAUUUCUAAAUACCCAUGUUCUGCGUUAAAUUUUCAUGCUCUCCACUGUGCUAGCUUUCCUCCUGCUCUGCAUUGCCAUUUUGUAUAUUCAUUUUUACAGGAACAAACCUUGAAUGUGGUGCCAGAUUUCAAAAACCUUGUGAUUCAGGCUCUUCUCUAAAAGAAAAUUCUAAAGCCGAACUUUUCAUGAUGGCUGCUACCUGUGGUGCAUUCUCCCAUUUGUUAUUAGGGGCGGCCUUCACAUAUCGAAGACAGCAACUGCUUGACUUCAAAAAUGAAGUCCUUGUAGAUGUUGCAGGCCCUAGUGAUGGUAAAUUACAUGUAAAAAAUUGAUCGGAAAUUUCAGAGAACUGUUCGGACCUCUUGAUGAAUUUGCUCACCCAUGUGAGUAUUCGGCAUGGUGAUAACAUUUUUGGGAGCUAUAUAUCUUUAGCAUAUGCGAGGACUUGAAGGAUGCCAACUCUUGGCAAGAUAUUGAGAAAAAAGUUUGAGGAAUCCUGAACGAGAGUAUGGAUUUAUCUUAGUUCCUUUUUUAUUUUUUAUUUUUGUUUCUUCUUAGGCCUAUUUGAUAGUCAAGUGCUGUGGCUUUCAUCAUUCACGAAUGUAUUUCCAAUUGUGGAUUUUUAUAUACCGCUCUUUGUAACUUCCUUUCUUCAACAAUGAUAUUUUUCACUUGCUUGUAAAAUUGUGUAAAGACAACUUUGCUUCAUGGAAAUUGGUUAUUGUAGACUUUUAAAAUGUCA